GUCUUUUUGAGGAUAAUUUAAAGUCGGGCCUGCCCAAUGAGAAUUUAAUGGCCGCAGUAUUUUGACUGUGCUAAGGUAGCAUAAUCAUUAGUUUUUUAAUUGAAAGCUGGUAUGAAUGGUUUGAUGAAAAAAAUACUGUCUCUUAAAAAUUUUAUUAGAAUUUUAUUUUUAAGUCAAAAAGCUUAAAUAAUAUUUAAAGACGAGAAGACCCUUUAGAGUUUUAUAUUUUUUGUUAUUUAGAGUAUUUAGUAUUAAAUAUUUUUUAUAAUUUUAAGUAUUUAAUUGGGGUGAUUUAAAAAUUUAAUAAACUUUUUAUUUAUUUAUACAUUAAUUUAUGAUAAUUUGAUCCAUUUUUUUUUGAUUAUAAGAUUAAAUUACCUAAGGGAUAACAGCGUUAUUUUUUUUGAGAGUUCUUAUCGAAAAAAAAGAUUGCGACCUCGAUGUUGGAUUAAAGUUAAAUUAUGGUGCAGGAGCUGUAUAUUUGGGUCUGUUCGACCUUUAAAACUUUACA
RNAcentral lists this ribosomal RNA (511 nucleotides) under Megauchenia sp. CO1008. Its description in RNAcentral is "partial 16S ribosomal RNA". The stretch from base 385 to 511 matches the Rfam family "Bacterial large subunit ribosomal RNA", at positions 2473 to 2600 of the family's 2925-position model. The record is from RNAcentral. Lineage: Eukaryota; Metazoa; Arthropoda; Insecta; Coleoptera; Nitidulidae.